AGUCGAGCGGACAGAAGGGAGCUUGCUCCCGGAUGUUAGCGGCGGACGGGUGAGUAACACGUGGGUAACCUGCCUGUAAGACUGGGAUAACUCCGGGAAACCGGAGCUAAUACCGGAUAGUUCCUUGAACCGCAUGGUUCAAGGAUGAAAGACGGUUUCGGCUGUCACUUACAGAUGGACCCGCGGCGCAUUAGCUAGUUGGUGGGGUAAUGGCUCACCAAGGCGACGAUGCGUAGCCGACCUGAGAGGGUGAUCGGCCACACUGGGACUGAGACACGGCCCAGACUCCUACGGGAGGCAGCAGUAGGGAAUCUUCCGCAAUGGACGAAAGUCUGACGGAGCAACGCCGCGUGAGUGAUGAAGGUUUUCGGAUCGUAAAGCUCUGUUGUUAGGGAAGAACAAGUGCGAGAGUAACUGCUCGCACCUUGACGGUACCUAACCAGAAAGCCACGGCUAACUACGUGCCAGCAGCCGCGGUAAUACGUAGGUGGCAAGCGUUGUCCGGAAUUAUUGGGCGUAAAGGGCUCGCAGGCGGUUUCUUAAGUCUGAUGUGAAAGCCC
Molecule: ribosomal RNA, 560 nt
Filed under: Bacillus sp. amh-4467
Lineage: Bacteria; Bacillati; Bacillota; Bacilli; Caryophanales; Bacillaceae
Description: bacterial SSU rRNA
Rfam family: Bacterial small subunit ribosomal RNA
Source: RNAcentral